Sander lucioperca (pikeperch) is the source of this 207-nucleotide long non-coding RNA. RefSeq lists it as uncharacterized. NCBI's taxonomy places the organism in Eukaryota, Metazoa, Chordata, Actinopteri, Perciformes, Percidae. The transcript is spliced from 3 exons. The record is from RefSeq and is a predicted model, not a curated record.
CAUCAACAUAGCAUCAUGACUGCAUAAACAUACACGCCACUUUCCUAAAGCCAAAUGGCGUGUUAUCUAUACGCAUUUUCAGCUAUCCAUGUCUACGCUGUAUACAGCAGAUGUAAACAUACCCACCACGUGGCGUCGCCACGUUGCGUGUUAUCGCGAGAACAUGACGUACUAUCGCGAGAACAAUGACACACGGAAUCACAAUAA